AGUCCUCAGGCCCUGGGACAGCUGCUGAGGAAGGAGAGCAGACCCAGGAGAGCCAUGAAGCCUAGGAAAGCUGAGCCUCAUAGCUUCCGGGAGAAGGUUUUCCGGAAGAAACCUCCAGUCUGUGCAGUAUGUAAGGUGACCAUCGAUGGGACAGGCGUUUCGUGCAGAGUCUGCAAGGUGGCGACGCACAGAAAAUGUGAAGCAAAGGUGACUUCAGCCUGUCAGGCCUUGCCUCCCGCGGAGUUGCGGCGAAACACGGCCCCAGUCAGGCGCAUAGAGCACCUGGGAUCCACCAAAUCUCUGAACCACUCAAAGCAGCGCAGCACUCUGCCCAGGAGCUUCAGCCUGGACCCGCUCAUGGAGCGGCGCUGGGACUUAGACCUCACCUACGUGACGGAACGCAUCUUGGCCGCCGCCUUCCCCGCGCGGCCCGAUGAACAGCGGCACAGGGGCCACCUGCGCGAGCUGGCCCACGUGCUGCAAUCCAAGCACCGGGACAAGUACCUGCUCUUCAACCUUUCAGAGAAAAGGCAUGACCUGACCCGCUUAAACCCCAAGGUUCAAGACUUUGGCUGGCCUGAUCUGCAUGCUCCACCCCUGGACAAGCUGUGCUCCAUCUGCAAAGCCAUGGAGACGUGGCUCAGUGCUGACCCACAGCACGUGGUCGUACUAUACUGCAAGGUGGGACGGGACCUCGGGUUCCCUGGUGCCUGGAGGUUCCAGGUCAGCCUGGAGCCCCCAGACCCUCACCCCUGUCUCUCUGUCUGUCAGGGAAACAAGGGCAAGCUCGGGGUCAUCGUUUCUGCCUACAUGCAUUACAGCAAGAUCUCUGCAGGGUGAGGCUCCCAGCGCCUGAGUAGCCACUUCCCCAGUGGCCCUUUCUCCAGCUGGCCCCUUAGGAACCCAUUUCCCCUGGAGCCCACCUCUUCGUUGAGAGUCCUUUGCUGUCAGCUUAGCAUUUCCAUCUCCCUUUUAUCACUAGUACUGUAACACAGUCUGCAGCAGAUGGUCUGUAGAGCUUCCUGGGGCAGCCACAAACAGGGUGCUGUAAAACAGUGGAAAUGGGCCCGGUGCAGUGGCUCACGCCUGUAAUCCCAGCACUUUGGGAGGCUGAGGUGGGCGGGUCACCUGAGGUCAGGAGUUUGAGACUAGCCUGGCCAGGUGAAACCCCGUCUGUAAAAAUAUAAAAACAUAAAAAUUAGCUGGGCGUGGUGGUGGGUGCCUGUAAUCCCAGCUACUCAGGAGGCUGAGGCAGGAGAAUUGCUUGAACCCAGGAGAUGGAGGUUGCAGUGAGCCCACAUGGUGCCACUGCACUCCAGCCUGGGUGACAGAGUCAGACUCCAUCUCAAAAAAAACAAAAACAAA
This 1365-nucleotide small RNA is filed under the name Pongo abelii (Sumatran orangutan). RNAcentral describes it as "retained intron". Lineage: Eukaryota; Metazoa; Chordata; Mammalia; Primates; Hominidae. The record is from RNAcentral.